This 764-nucleotide ribosomal RNA is filed under the name uncultured organism. Its description in RNAcentral is "bacterial SSU rRNA". It matches the Rfam family "Bacterial small subunit ribosomal RNA", at positions 354 to 1129 of the family's 1533-position model. The record is from RNAcentral.
GUAAGGAAUAUCGCGCAAUGGACGAAAGUCAGACGCUGCGACGCCGGGUGGGCGACUGAAGGCCUACGGGUUGUAAAGCCCUUUUAUGGGGGAAUGAGAAACAAGGACUGGUACCCCAUGAAUAAGUCCCGGCUAGUUACGUGCCAUCAGGCGCGGUAAAACGUACGUGACAAGCGUUAUCCGGAUUCACUGGGCGUAAAGAGCGUUGAGGCGGUUCCGUAAGUUGGGCGUGAAAGCUCCGGGCUUAACCCGGAGAUGUCGUUCAAUACUGCGGUGCUUGAGGACAGCAGAGGAAGGUGGAAUUCCCGGUGUAGUGGUGAAAUGCGUAGAUAUCGGGAGGAACACCCGUGGCGAAGGCGGCCUUCUGGGCUGUUCCUGACGCUGAAGGCGAAAGCUAGGGGAGCGAACGGGAUUAGAUACCCCGGUAGUCCUAGCUGUAAACGAUGGAUGCUGGGUAUGGGGGGUGUAAAUUCCCUCUGUGCCGAAGCAAACGCGUUAAGCAUCCCGCCUGGGGACUACGGCCGCAAGGCUAAUACUCAAACGAAUUGACGGGGGCCCGCACAAGCAGCGGAGCGUGUGGUUUAAUUCGAUGCUACACGAAGAACCUUACCUGGGUUUGACAUGCACGUGGUAGGGAACCGAAAGGGGACCGACCUUCGGGAGCGUGCACAGGUGCUGCAUGGCUGUCGUCAGCUCGUGCCGUGAGGUGCCGGGAUAAGUCCCGUAACGAGCGCAACCCUUGCCCUUAGUUACAAGUGUUUAAG